This is a non-coding RNA of Biomphalaria pfeifferi, 244 nucleotides long. Lineage: Eukaryota; Metazoa; Mollusca; Gastropoda; Planorbidae. The record is from the annotation of a GenBank genome assembly.
GUAAAAGAGUUGAGCUUAGUUUCAGUAUUUUACAUUUUAACAUUUCUUUCGGUUACUAGAAGAUCGUAGUUGUAAUGGGUGUAAUAUCAAAUAUACUAUGCGAGAUUAUUCCGUUCAAAGUGAAUAUUAUUUAUUGUUCUAAGCCAAGCCAAGUGUUUACCCUAUUCUUCUAGUCUUAGUGUAUUUUCUAUCUAAUCAUUUUUAUAAAUAACAGACCGAGAAGAAGAUAAUUCAUUUGUUUAUC